GGAAGGGUGCGAGAGUGGUUUAAUCGGCACGCCUGGAAAGCGUGUGUGCCGGAAACGGUACCAGGGGUUCGAAUCCCCUCCCUUCCG
Molecule: transfer RNA, 87 nt
Filed under: Candidatus Woesebacteria bacterium
Lineage: Bacteria; Candidatus Woeseibacteriota
Description: tRNA-Ser
Rfam family: tRNA
About the family: Transfer RNA (tRNA) molecules are approximately 80 nucleotides in length. Their secondary structure includes four short double-helical elements and three loops (D, anti-codon, and T loops).
Source: RNAcentral